CAAGACUAGCUGCGACACCAAGUGCAAUCUUAUGCCUUGACAACCAAUCUAACUCCGCUUCACCUCUUUCAACUUUUGUCAACAUAUCCUGCAAACUACCAUUCUUCAUGAACUCAUACACAAGGUAAUGACAAUCAGGUCUAGAAAUAUGAGCUACCAAAGGCAAAAGGUUUCGAUGACGAAUCUGACUAACGGUAUCAAUCUCUGACUUAAUUUGCCGCAGUUAUAUCCUUACUUAAAGGCCACACACACCAUCAGUCGCUAACAAAGUAAUAAAACCAUAGUCGGUAUGUGCUCCAGCUCCAAACAAUCCCUUAGAGUGACCUGUGUUCGAGUGGAGGGACCGCACAAGACACCAAAAUUUUAGNNNNNNNNNNNNNNNNNNNNNNNGUGCGUGUGUUAAAAUAAAUAUAUUAAAUAAUUAUUAUAACUAAAUUUUAAAAUUGAAUUAGACUCUUAUGAUAUUGAUAGUAAAAUUCAUCUGGAGAAUUAAAAGUAACUUAUUAAAUAACAAGAAUGUUGUUCAAUCGGCCCCCCAUAUAUGACAUGCAUGUGUUUAAAUUUAAUUACUUUCAUUUCUCAAACUAUCAUGACACCUGUCUAUUUAAAUGUCAGAUAAGUUCAUUUUUAAUGAAAUAUCAAGACCAGCUGCGACACCAAGUGUAAUCUUGUGCCUUGACAACCAAUCUAACUCCGCUUCACCUCUUUCAACUUUUGUCAAUAUAUCCUGCAAACUACCAUUCUUCAUGAACUCAUACACAAGGUAAUGACAAUCAGGUCUAGAAAUAUGAGCUAACAAAGGCAAAAGGUUUCGAUGACGAAUCUGACCAACGGUAUCAAUCUCUGACUUAAUUU
This 855-nucleotide long non-coding RNA is filed under the name Trifolium pratense (red clover). Its description in RNAcentral is "long non-coding RNA (TPRA_LNC004791)". The record is from RNAcentral. Lineage: Eukaryota; Viridiplantae; Streptophyta; Magnoliopsida; Fabales; Fabaceae.